UAGGGAAUCUUCGGCAAUGGACGAAAGUCUGACCGAGCAACGACGCGUGAGUGAAGAAGGUUUUCGGAUCGUAAAACUCUGUUGGUAGAGAAGAACGUUGGUGAGAGUGGAAAGCUCAUCAAGUGACGGUAACUACCCAGAAAGGGACGGCUAACUACGUGCCAGCAGCCGCGGUAAUACGAAGGUCCCGAGCGUUGUUCGGAUUUAUUGGGCGUAAAGCGAGCGCAGGUGGUUUAUUAAGUCUGGUGUAAAAGGCAGUGGCUCAACCAUUGUAUGCAUUGGAAACUUGUAGACUUGAGUGCAGGAGAGGAGAGUGGAAUUCCAUGUGUAGCGGUGAAAUGCGUAGAUAUAUGGAGGAACACCGGUGGCGAAAGCGGCUCUCUGGCCUGUAACUGACACUGAGGCUCGAAAGCGUGGGGAGCAAACA
RNAcentral lists this ribosomal RNA (427 nucleotides) under uncultured bacterium. RNAcentral's name for it is "partial 16S ribosomal RNA". It matches the Rfam family "Bacterial small subunit ribosomal RNA", at positions 355 to 774 of the family's 1533-position model. The record is from RNAcentral.